Molecule: long non-coding RNA, 2626 nt
Organism: Ictalurus punctatus (channel catfish)
Lineage: Eukaryota; Metazoa; Chordata; Actinopteri; Siluriformes; Ictaluridae
Source: Ensembl
GCACAGUGUAGACUUUAUGUUAGUAUUGGGGUCUCCUUUUGUUAAUCCUCUUUAAGAUAUGUUAUGGGCAAUGAAGAGGCUCCAUCUAAUUUUCAUUGCUUUGGUUCUUUGGAGAGAUACAAAUGGAUUUGGAGUGUGGAAUAGAACCUCUGUUGUUGACUUGCAAGCUGGACAUUUUAAUGCAACAUGGAACCAAAAUUUUCACUUGGCUACACCUGUUCAAUCUUUGGAGCUACUGUCCAGGAAAGGUGCAAAUGGAGAUGAAGGCGGAAGAAAUUCUAGUAGUUUCAGUUAUACUUUGGCAGUCCAAACUGCUCCCCAGGAUUCUAGUUUUGUUCAGUCUUCUGGUGGUGCUGCUCAAGGUAAACCUGUACUAAAUGCUCAAGGUCAAGCAGCUCCCAUGGUUCAACCCCAGGACAAUUUGACAUCCCAGUCCUCAAGGCUCGAUUGGUUUGAAUUUCUCAAGCCUAAAUGUUGUGGCUCUUGGGUCUCUCAAUCUUGGCCACAAAAAGGUCGGAACAACCCUGGAUUCCAAAGACCAUCCUCUUUCCAGCUUGAAGGUGCUAUAAAUCAGCCAUCAGGAUUCCAGACCCAGUCAUCAUACCAGCCUAGCACCACCACACAGGUUCUUGCAGGCCAGUCUGGUUCCUCAUCUCAGGCUCAGGGCAGCUAUGGUGCUGGACCUUCAGCACAAGCUAAAUGGUACAGCAUUGUACCGGGUCAGACCACUCCCUCCUUUUCUCAAGUUCCUGGAAUCCAGACCCAGUCAUCAUACCAGCCUAGCACCACAACACAGGUUCUUGCAGGCCAGUUUGCUUCCUCAUCUCAGGUUCAGGGUAGCUAUGGUGCUGGACCUUCAGCACAAGCUAAAUGGUACAGCAUUGUACAGGGUCAGACCACUCCCUCCUUUUCUCAAGUUCCUGGAAUCCAGACCCAGUCAUCAUACCAGCCUAGCACCACAACACAGGUUCAGACAGGCGAGUCUAUUGCCCAGCCUGAGUCGUUCGGAGCUUCAGCUUCAUAUCCAAGUCAAACCUCUGGCAUGUACUCUGUUGUACAGGGUCCUCUGAUUGCAUCCUCUUCCCAAAUGCCUGGGUUCCACAUCCAGUCAUCAUACCAGCCUGGCACCACAACACAGGUUCAGACAGGCCAGUCUGCGUCUACAUCUCAGGCUCAGUCCUCUGGUGCGUCAACGUUGUAUCAAGGGAUUAGCUCUGGCAGGUAUCUGACUUCACUGGGUCAUAUAAUUCCAUCCUCCUCCCAGUCUGUGGUCACUACAAACCAGACAUCUGGAUCCCAGACCCAGUCAUCAUACCAGCCUAGCACUACAACGCUCCUUCAGACAGGCCAGCCUGUUCUUCCUCAGAGUCAGCCUUCGGGAGCUUCUGCUUCAUAUCCAAGUCAAACCUCUGGCGUGUACAAUAUUGCACAGCGUCCAUUGACUGCAACCCUUUCCGAAAUACCUGGGUUCCACAUCCAGUCAUCAUACCAGCCUGGCACUACAACACUGCUUCAGACAGGCCAGUCUGCGUCUACAUCUCAGGCUCAGUCCUCUGGUGCAUCAACGUUGUAUCAAGGGAUUAGCUCUGGCAGGUAUCUGACUUCACUGGGUCAUAUAAUUCCAUCCUCCUCCCAGUCUGUGGUCACUACAAACCAGACAUCUGGAUCCCAGACCCAGUCAUCAUACCAGCCUGGCACUACAACACUGCUUCAGACAGGCCAGUCUGCUUCUACAUCUCAGGCUCUUGGCAGCCAUGGAGCUGCACCUUCAGGACAUGCUAAAUGGUACACCAUUGUACAAGGUCAGACAAUUCCAUCUUCUCAAGCCUCUGGAUCCCAGACCCAGUCAUCAUACCAGCCUGGCACCACAACACAGGUUCAGACAGGCCAGUCUGCUUCUACAUCUCGGGCUCAGUCCUCUGGUGCAUCAACAUUGUAUCCAGGGAUUAGGAGGAAUGUGACUUCUCUGGGUCAUGGCUUUCCAUACUCAACCCAGUCUGUGGUGACCGCAAACCAGACAUCUGGAUCCCAGACCCAGUCAUCAUACCAGCCUAGCACUACAACACUGCUUCAGACAGGCCAGCCUGUUCUUCCUCAGAGUCAGCCUUCGGGAGCUUCUGCUCCAUAUCCAAGUCAAACCUCUGGCGUGUACAAUAUUGCACAGCGUCCAUUGACUGCAACCCUUUCCGAAAUACCUGGGUUCCACAUCCAGUCAUCAUACCAGCCUGGCACUACAACACUGCUUCAGACAGGCCAGUCUGCGUCUACAUCUCAGGCUCAGUCCUCUGGAGCAUCAACGUUGUAUCAAGGGAUUAGCUCUGGCAGGUAUCUGACGUCACUGGGUCAUAUAAUUCCUUCCUCCUCCCAGUCUGUGGUCACUACAAACCAGACAUCUGGAUCCCAGACCCAGUCAUCAUACCAGCCUGGCACCACAACACUGCUUCAGACAGCCCAGUCUGCUCCUACAUCUCAGGCUCAGUCCUCUGGUGCAUCAACAUUGUAUCAAGGAAUUAGGAGGAAUGUGACUUCUCUGGGUCAUGGCUUUCCAUACUCAACCCAGUCUGUGGUGACUGCAAACCAGACAUCUGGAUUCCAGACCCAGUCAUCAUACCAGCCUGGCACUACA